ACAAUGAAGAGUUUGAUCCUGGCUCAGGAUGAACGCUAGCGGCAGGCCUAACACAUGCAAGUCGAGGGGCAUCGGGGAAAAGCUUGCUUUUCCGCCGGCGACCGGCGCACGGGUGCGGAACGCGUAUGGAACCUGCCCCUGUCAGGGGAAUAGCCCAGGGAAACUUGGAUUAAUGCCCCAUGGUACCGUUAUAUCGCAUGAUAUUACGGUUAAAGAUUUAUCGGACAGGGAUGGCCAUGCGUACCAUUAGUUAGUUGGUGGGGUAACGGCUCACCAAGGCAGCGAUGGUUAGGGGCCCUGAGAGGGGGAUCCCCCACACUGGUACUGAGACAC
Molecule: ribosomal RNA, 333 nt
Filed under: Allomuricauda sp.
Lineage: Bacteria; Pseudomonadati; Bacteroidota; Flavobacteriia; Flavobacteriales; Flavobacteriaceae
Description: bacterial SSU rRNA
Rfam family: Bacterial small subunit ribosomal RNA
Source: RNAcentral